UUUUUUUUUUCCUUUAUAAACUCUGCCCGCCUACAAAUUAUUCCUGCGGAAGCUUGCCUUUCACUUUCUUUCUCUCACUGCCUAGAACCCUGUAUCGCGUUGUCAACCUUGUAAAGUCUGUUUUUAGCUUGAACCCUUAUAAUUAAAGUGUGUUCUGGUGUUGGCUUAAUUAAGUUCUGUCAUAUAGUAAAACAUUAUUUCCCGC
RNAcentral lists this long non-coding RNA (205 nucleotides) under Hordeum vulgare. RNAcentral describes it as "long non-coding RNA (HVUL_LNC020494)". Lineage: Eukaryota; Viridiplantae; Streptophyta; Magnoliopsida; Poales; Poaceae. The record is from RNAcentral.